UACGGGGGGAGCAAGCGUUAUCCAGAUUUAUUGGGUUUAAAGGGUGCGCAGGCGGGGCUUUAAGUCAGUGGUGAAAUCUCUUCGCUUAACGAAGAAACUGCCAUUGAUACUGAAGUUCUUGAAUCUGGUUGACGUUAGUGGAAUGUGUCAUGUAGCGGUGAAAUGCUUAGAUAUCAGGAGGAACACCUAUUGCGAAGGCAGCUCGCUGGGACGUUACUGACGCUGAGACGCGAAAGCGUGGGGAGCAAACAGG
This 253-nucleotide ribosomal RNA is filed under the name uncultured bacterium. RNAcentral's name for it is "partial 16S ribosomal RNA". It matches the Rfam family "Bacterial small subunit ribosomal RNA", at positions 524 to 776 of the family's 1533-position model. The record is from RNAcentral.